GGCCUCAACCUUCUGGGUUCAAGCAGUCCUUCCCCCCUCAGCCCAAGUUGCUGGGACUACAGGCACACAAACCAAUGGUCUGGACUUUCAGAAGCAGCCUGUGCCUGUAGGAGGAGCAAUCUCAACAGCCCAGGCGCAGGCUUUCCUUGGACAUCUCCAUCAGGUCCAACUCGCUGGAACAAGUUUACAGGCUGCUGCUCAGUCUUUAAAUGUACAGUCUAAAUCUAAUGAAGAAUCGGGGGAUUCGCAGCAGCCAAGCCAGCCUUCCCAGCAGCCUUCAGUGCAGGCAGCCAUUCCCCAGACCCAGCUUAUGCUAGCUGGAGGACAGAUAACUGGGCUUACUUUGACGCCUGCCCAGCAACAGUUACUACUCCAGCAGGCACAGGCACAGGCACAGCUGCUGGCUGCUGCAGUGCAGCAGCACUCCGCCAGCCAGCAGCACAGUGCUGCUGGAGCCACCAUCUCCGCCUCUGCUGCCGCGCCCAUGACGCAGAUCCCCCUGUCUCAGCCCAUACAGAUCGCACAGGAUCUUCAACAACUGCAACAGCUUCAACAGCAGAAUCUCAACCUGCAACAGUUUGUGUUGGUGCAUCCAACCACCAAUUUGCAGCCAGCGCAGUUUAUCAUCUCACAGACGCCCCAGGGCCAGCAGGGAGGGAAGACUGCUAUAAUAGAAACUACAAAUUUCGUCUCCUGCAAGCGCAAAAUCUUCUAACGCAACUACCUCAGCAAAGCCAAGCCAACCUCCUACAGUCGCAGCCAAGCAUCACCCUCACCUCCCAGAUCUGGCCCAGUCCAGCCUGAGGUUUCUGGAGCUGGGGUAACUUAUCUGUAACCACCCCAUCUAAAGGUACCCAA
RNAcentral lists this small RNA (858 nucleotides) under Pan troglodytes (chimpanzee). Its description in RNAcentral is "processed transcript". Lineage: Eukaryota; Metazoa; Chordata; Mammalia; Primates; Hominidae. The record is from RNAcentral.